This 465-nucleotide ribosomal RNA is filed under the name Nitrosomonas sp. HKU10. Its description in RNAcentral is "bacterial SSU rRNA". It matches the Rfam family "Bacterial small subunit ribosomal RNA", at positions 198 to 644 of the family's 1533-position model. Lineage: Bacteria; Pseudomonadati; Pseudomonadota; Betaproteobacteria; Nitrosomonadales; Nitrosomonadaceae. The record is from RNAcentral.
GGAGAAAAGCAGGGGAUCGCAAGACCUUGCGCUAAAGGAGCGGCCGAUGUCUGAUUAGCUAGUUGGUGGGGUAAAGGCUUACCAAGGCAACGAUCAGUAGUUGGUCUGAGAGGACGGCCAACCACACUGGGACUGAGACACGGCCCAGACUCCUACGGGAGGCAGCAGUGGGGAAUUUUGGACAAUGGGCGAAAGCCUGAUCCAGCCAUGCCGCGUGAGUGAAGAAGGCCUUCGGGUUGUAAAGCUCUUUUAGUCGGAAAGAAAAGAUCAUAAUGAACAAUUAUGAUUCAUGACGGUACCGACAGAAAAAGCACCGGCUAACUACGUGCCAGCAGCCGCGGUAAUACGUAGGGUGCGAGCGUUAAUCGGAAUUACUGGGCGUAAAGGGUGCGCAGGCGGUCUUGCAAGUCAGAUGUGAAAGCCCCGGGCUUAACCUGGGAAUUGCGUUUGAAACUACAAAGCUAG